Molecule: long non-coding RNA, 323 nt
Filed under: Apteryx owenii (little spotted kiwi)
Lineage: Eukaryota; Metazoa; Chordata; Aves; Apterygiformes; Apterygidae
Description: lncRNA (ENSAOWG00000012684.1)
Source: RNAcentral
GGAUUUCCAGUAUUCUACAUGAUCUGCAUUGCUCAUUACUGCCUAUGCUGCUGAAAGAGAGGCAAGUGGCUUUAUAUUCCAAGUUCUUCUGAAGUGUGAAGGAGUGCUGGAAUAGAGAGGAGGAAGCUGGACAAAAAAUAACCAAUACCUCUGCAGGAGAAAAAUCUGCUGGCAGUACUUUGAAAUAGAUCUACAAAAAUCUAAAGUCUGGAUUUUGAGACUUGGCAUGAAUAUAAUGUGAGAUAUACUUAACCUGGCAAAAGGGAAAAAAACACUUGGUUUAAUAGGACUCUUUCCAAUUUCUAUUGGACAUGGGUUGGACU